Molecule: ribosomal RNA, 396 nt
Filed under: uncultured bacterium
Lineage: Bacteria
Description: bacterial SSU rRNA
Rfam family: Bacterial small subunit ribosomal RNA
Source: RNAcentral
ACUCCUACGGGAGGCAGCAGUGGGGAAUAUUGCACAAUGGGGGAAACCCUGAUGCAGCCAUGCCGCGUGUGUGAAGAAGGCCUUCGGGUUGUAAAGCACUUUCAGUAGGGAGGAAGGUAGUGUAGUUAACACCUGCAUUAUUUGACGUUACCUACAGAAGAAGCACCGGCUAACUCCGUAGCCAGCAGCCGCGGUAAUACGGAGGGUGCGAGCGUUAAUCGGAAUUACUGGGCGUAAAGCGCAUGCAGGCGGCCUGUUAAGUCAGAUGUGAAAGCCCGGGGCUUAACCUCGGAAUUGCAUUUGAAACUGGCAGGCUAGAGUCUUGUAGAAGGGGGGUAGAAUUUCAGGUGUAGCGGUGAAAUGCGUAGAGAUCUGAAGGAAUACCAGUGGCGAAGG